CCUACGGGGGGCAGCAGUGGGGAAUAUUGGACAAUGGGGGGAACCCGGAUCCAGCCAUGCCGCGUGUGUGAAGAAGGCCCUCGGGUUGUAAAGCACUUUCAGUGAGGAAGAACGCCUGGUGGUUAAUACCCAUCAGGAAAGACAUCACUCACAGAAGAAGCACCGGCUAACUCCGUGCCAGCAGCCGCGGUAAUACGGAGGGUGCGAGCGUUAAUCGGAAUUACUGGGCGUAAAGCGCGCGUAGGUGGCUUGAUAAGCCGGUUGUGAAAGCCCCGGGCUCAACCUGGGAACGGCAUCCGGAACUGUCAAGCUAGAGUGCAGGAGAGGAAGGUAGAAUUCCCGGUGUAGCGGUGAAAUGCGUAGAGAUCGGGAGGAAUACCAGUGGCGAAGGCGGCCUUCUGGACUGACACUGACACUGAGGUGCGAAAGCGUGGGUAGCAAACAGGAUUAGAUACCCCUGUAGUC
Molecule: ribosomal RNA, 465 nt
Filed under: Vreelandella stevensii
Lineage: Bacteria; Pseudomonadati; Pseudomonadota; Gammaproteobacteria; Oceanospirillales; Halomonadaceae
Description: partial 16S ribosomal RNA
Rfam family: Bacterial small subunit ribosomal RNA
Source: RNAcentral